UUCCGGUUGAUCCUGCCGGAGGUCACUGCUAUUGGAGUUCGAUUAAGCCAUGCGAGUCAAGAGUUCUUCGUGAACUCGGCGGACUGCUCAGUAACACGUGGGUAAUCUACCCUCGGGCCAGGGAUAACCCCGGGAAACUGGGGAUAAUACCUGAUAGGUGAAGUGGUCUGGAAGGAUACUUCGCCCAAAGCUCCGGCGCCCGAGGAUGAGCCUGCGGCCGAUUAGGUAGUUGGCGGUGUAACGGACCACCAAGCCUGUGAUCGGUACGGGUGGUGAGAGCCAUAGCCCGGAGAUGGGGGCUGAGACACGGCCCCAGGCCCUACGGGGCGCAGCAGGCGCGAAAACUACGCAAUGCGCGAAAGCGUGACGUGGGGACUCCAAGUGCCCUGCCUUAGGGUAGGGCUUUUGUGCAGUGUAAGUAGCUGCACGAAUAAGAGCGGGGUAAGACCGGUGCCAGCCGCCGCGGUAACACCGGCCGCUCAAGUGGUGACCGCUUUUAUUGGGCCUAAAGCGUUCGUAGCCGGUCCGGUAAGUCCUUGGGUAAAUCCUCAGGCUUAACCUGAGGAAUUCCGAGGAUACUGCUGGACUUGGAGUUGAGAGAAGUCGGAGGUACCUCCGGGGUAGGGGUGAAAUCCUAUAAUCCUGGGGGGACCACCAGUGGCGAAGGCGUCCGACUAGAGUAAGCUCGACGGUGAGGGACGAAAGCCAGGGGCGCGAACGGGAUUAGAUACCCCGGUAGUCCUGGCUGUAAACGCUGCGCGCUAGGUGUUACGCCCUCUACGAGGGGACGUAGUGCCGAAGAGAAGUUGAUAAGCGUGCCGCCUGGGAAGUAUUACUGCAAGGUAGAAACUUAAAGGAAUUGGCGGGGGAGCACCACAAGGGGUGGAGUCUGCGGUUCAAUUGGAUUCAACGCCGG
Molecule: ribosomal RNA, 916 nt
Filed under: uncultured archaeon
Lineage: Archaea
Description: bacterial SSU rRNA
Rfam family: Archaeal small subunit ribosomal RNA
Source: RNAcentral